GUGGGGAAUUUUGGACAAUGGGGGCAACCCUGAUCCAGCAAUGCCGCGUGCAGGAAGAAGGCCUUCGGGUUGUAAACUGCUUUUGUACGGAACGAAAAGGCUCUGGUUAAUACCUGGGGCACAUGACGGUACCGUAAGAAUAAGCACCGGCUAACUACGUGCCUGCAGCCGCGGUAAUACGUAGGGUGCAAGCGUUAAUCGGAAUUACUGGGCGUAAAGCGUGCGCAGGCGGUGCUGUAAGACAGGCGUGAAAUCCCCGGGCUUAACCUGGGAAUGGCGCUUGGGACUGCAGUGCUGGAGUGUGGCAGAGGGGGAUGGAAUUCCGCGUGUAGCAGUGAAAUGCGUAGAUAUGCGGAGGAACACCGAUGGCGAAGGCAAUCCCCUGGGCCUGCACUGACGCUCAUACACGAAAGCGUGGGGAGCAAACAGGAUUAGAAACCCCGGUAGUCC
This 450-nucleotide ribosomal RNA is filed under the name uncultured bacterium. RNAcentral describes it as "partial 16S ribosomal RNA". It matches the Rfam family "Bacterial small subunit ribosomal RNA", at positions 354 to 796 of the family's 1533-position model. The record is from RNAcentral.